This 546-nucleotide ribosomal RNA is filed under the name Penicillium expansum. Its description in RNAcentral is "eukaryotic LSU rRNA". The stretch from base 208 to 360 matches the Rfam family "5.8S ribosomal RNA". Lineage: Eukaryota; Fungi; Ascomycota; Eurotiomycetes; Eurotiales; Aspergillaceae. The record is from RNAcentral.
CUUCCGUAGGUGAACCUGCGGAAGGAUCAUUACCGAGUGAGGGCCCUUUGGGUCCAACCUCCCACCCGUGUUUAUUUACCUCGUUGCUUCGGCGGGCCCGCCUUAACUGGCCGCCGGGGGGCUCACGCCCCCGGGCCCGCGCCCGCCGAAGACACCCCCGAACUCUGCCUGAAGAUUGUCGUCUGAGUGAAAAUAUAAAUUAUUUAAAACUUUCAACAACGGAUCUCUUGGUUCCGGCAUCGAUGAAGAACGCAGCGAAAUGCGAUACGUAAUGUGAAUUGCAAAUUCAGUGAAUCAUCGAGUCUUUGAACGCACAUUGCGCCCCCUGGUAUUCCGGGGGGCAUGCCUGUCCGAGCGUCAUUGCUGCCCUCAAGCCCGGCUUGUGUGUUGGGCCCCGUCCUCCGAUUCCGGGGGACGGGCCCGAAAGGCAGCGGCGGCACCGCGUCCGGUCCUCGAGCGUAUGGGGCUUUGUCACCCGCUCUGUAGGCCCGGCCGGCGCUUGCCGAUCAACCCAAAUUUUAUCCAGGUUGACCUCGGAUCAGUAGG